Molecule: small nucleolar RNA, 106 nt
Filed under: Olea europaea subsp. europaea
Lineage: Eukaryota; Viridiplantae; Streptophyta; Magnoliopsida; Lamiales; Oleaceae
Description: Plant small nucleolar RNA R71
Rfam family: Plant small nucleolar RNA R71
About the family: R71 is a member of the C/D box family of snoRNAs containing the C (UGAUGA) and D (CUGA) box motifs. Multiple nearly identical copies of this snoRNA have been identified in Arabidopsis, and it is thought to function as a 2'-O-ribose methylation guide for 18S ribosomal RNA.
Source: Rfam by way of RNAcentral
UAACCAUGAUGGGGACAAAGGGCUUGCAACUCUUUAUAUCUUUCCCGAGCUUAGUAUAUGUUUUCAUUAUCCUUUUGGCAAAUAAAAAGAUUUGCUUUUUGAGGGC